UUCCUGUACUGCAGUAUAACAGAACUGUGGGGACACGUAAAGAGAGCGGGAGCCGGGAAUGGAAGGCCCGGUACAAGCGAGGUACCAGUAUGGUAGGAAAAACCGCCAUGCAAUGGGAAGACGUGAUGUGGAGUGAAAUAUAGUAACGAAGCCCGUGAGCCAUGCGUCAAGAAAAGCCGCUAUUGUUUAUAUUGUACCCGUACCGUAAACCGACACAGGUGGAUGAGGAGAGAAUCCUAAGGCCGGCGGAAGAAGUAAUGCCAAGGAACUCGGCAAAAUGGCCCCGUAACUUAGGGAGAAGGGGUGCCUGCGAGAGCAGGCCGCAGAGAAUAGGCUCAAGCAACUGUUUAGCAAAAGCACAGGUCUAUGCGAAACCGAAAGGUGAGGUAUAUGGGCUGACGCCUGCCCGGUGCUGGAAGGUUAAGAGGAGAGGUUAGACGCAAGUCGAAGCUUUGAAUUUAAGCCCCAGUAAACGGCGGCCGUAACAAUAACGGUCCUGAGGUAGCGAAAUUCCUUGUCGGGUAAGUUCCGACCCGCACGAAAGGCGUAAUGAUUUGAGCGCUGUCUCGGCAAUACAUCCGGUGAAAUUGAAGUGCCAGUGAAGAUGCUGGCUACCCGCGCCAGGACGGAAAGACCCCAUGGAGCUUUACUCCAGUUUGGCACUGGGGUCCGGUGUUGCAUGUACAGGAUAGGUGGGAGGCUGAGAGAUAGUGACGUCAGUUGCUAUGGAGCCGCUGUUGGGAUACCACCCUUGUGAUAUUGGGCUUCUAACCAGCCGCCGUGAACCGGCGGUGGGACAAUGCCAGGCGGGGAGUUUGACUGGGGCGGUCGCCUCCGAAAGGGUAUCGGAGGCGCCCAAAGGUUCCCUCAGAAUGGACGGAAACCAUUCGAAGAGUGCAAAGGCAGAAGGGAGCUUGACUGCGACACCGACGGGUGGAGCAGGUACGAAAGUAGGGCUUAGUGAUCCGGUGGUAUUAAGUGGGAAUGCCAUCGCUCAACGGAUAAAAGCUACCCUGGGAUAACAGGCUUAUCACUCCCAAGAGUUCACAUCGACGGAGUGGUUUGGCACCUUGAUGUCGGCUCAUCGCAUCCUGGGGCUGUAGUAGGUCCCAAGGGUUGGGCUGUUCGCCCAUUAAAGCGGUACGCGAGCUGGGUUCAGAACGUCGUGAGACAGUUCGGUCCCUAUCCGGCGUGGGCGUAGGAUAUCUGAGAGGAGCUGUCCUUAGUACGAGAGGACCGGGAUGGACGGACCGCUGGUGGACCGGUUGGCUUGCCAAAGCCAUGGCCGGGUAGCCAAGUCCGGAAGGGAUAAACGCUGAAGGCAUCUAAGCGUGAAGCCCCCCUCAAGAUGAGAUAUCCCAUUCUUUAAGAAGUAAACCCCCUUGAAGACGACGAGGUAGAUAGGGCAGAGGUGGAAGUGUGGUAACACAUGGAGCUGACUGUUACUAAUCGGGUGAGGGCUUGACCAU
This 1469-nucleotide ribosomal RNA is filed under the name metagenome. RNAcentral's name for it is "bacterial LSU rRNA". It matches the Rfam family "Bacterial large subunit ribosomal RNA", at positions 1436 to 2925 of the family's 2925-position model. The record is from RNAcentral.